RNAcentral lists this ribosomal RNA (22 nucleotides) under Collybiopsis luxurians. RNAcentral's name for it is "partial 18S small subunit ribosomal RNA". Lineage: Eukaryota; Fungi; Basidiomycota; Agaricomycetes; Agaricales; Omphalotaceae. The record is from RNAcentral.
UGAACCUGAGGAAGGAUCAUUA